AUUGAACGCCGGCGGCAGGCCUAACACAUGCAAGUCGAGCGGAUGAAGGGAGCUUGCUCCUGGAUUCAGCGGCGGACGGGUGAGUAAUGCCUAGGAAUCUGCCUGGUAGUGGGGGAUAACGUCCGGAAACGGGCGCUAAUACCGCAUACGUCCUGAGGGAGAAAGUGGGGGAUCUUCGGACCUCACGCUAUCAGAUGAGCCUAGGUCGGAUUAGCUAGUUGGUGGGGUAAAGGCCUACCAAGGCGACGAUCCGUAACUGGUCUGAGAGGAUGAUCAGUCACACUGGAACUGAGGCACGGUCCAGACUCCUACGGGAGGCAGCAGUGGGGAAUAUUGGACAAUGGGCGAAAGCCUGAUCCAGCCAUGCCGCGUGUGUGAAGAAGGUCUUCGGAUUGUAAAGCACUUUAAGUUGGGAGGAAGGGCAGUAAGUUAAUACCUUGCUGUUUUGACGUUACCAACAGAAUAAGCACCGGCUAACUUCGUG
Molecule: ribosomal RNA, 484 nt
Filed under: uncultured bacterium
Lineage: Bacteria
Description: partial 16S ribosomal RNA
Rfam family: Bacterial small subunit ribosomal RNA
Source: RNAcentral